UACGGGAGGCAGCAGUGGAGAAUAUUGCACAAUGGGCGCAAGCCUGAUGCAGCCAUGCCGCGUGUAUGAAGAAGGCCUUCGGGUUGUAAAGUACUUUCAGUCGUGAGGAAGGUGUUAAGGUUAAUAACCUUAGCAAUUGACGUUAGCGACAGAAGAAGCACCGGCUAACUCCGUGCCAGCAGCCGCGGUAAUACGGAGGGUGCGAGCGUUAAUCGGAAUUACUGGGCGUAAAGGGCACGCAGGCGGUUAAUUAAGUUGGAUGUGAAAUCCCCGGGCUUAACCUGGGAAUGGCAUUCAAGACUGGUUAGCUAGAGUCUUGUAGAGGGGGUAGAAUUCCAUGUGUAGCGGUGAAAUGCGUAGAGAUGUGGAGGAAUACCGGUGGCGAAGGCGGCCCCUGGACAAAGACUGACGCUCAUGUGCGAAAGCGUGGGGAGCAAACAGGAUUAGAUACC
Molecule: ribosomal RNA, 452 nt
Filed under: uncultured bacterium
Lineage: Bacteria
Description: bacterial SSU rRNA
Rfam family: Bacterial small subunit ribosomal RNA
Source: RNAcentral